GUGGAGAACAAGCCUCCUGAAGCAUGGCUCUGGAGGGACCAGCGCUGGCCCUGGAAUCCAGAGGCCCUUGGACACCUCCCCCAAAAACAGGGCCUCGGGGAAGGAGCCUGGAACCUGGCACCAGAAAACCUAGAUGACAUUUCCCGCCCCAUUGCUUAUUGGUUUCCCAACCCAGUGUGACUUCAUCUCUCUGGGCUUUGGCAUCUGUCUCUGAAGAAUGGCAAUCCCACAGUCAAAGAUAAAGCAACUUGUCCAGCCAAAAUGGCCUUCUCUCGAGUCCCCAACGAGUUCCCAACUCUGCA
Long non-coding RNA from Trichosurus vulpecula (common brushtail), 302 nucleotides. RefSeq lists it as uncharacterized. The transcript is spliced from 3 exons. The record is from RefSeq and is a predicted model, not a curated record. Lineage: Eukaryota; Metazoa; Chordata; Mammalia; Diprotodontia; Phalangeridae.